AGUGAACGCUGGCGGUAGGCCUAACACAUGCGAGUCGAACGGCAGCACAGUAAGAGCUUGCUCUUACGGGUGGCGAGUGGCGGACGGGUGAGGAAUACAUCGGAAUCUACUUUUUCGUGGGGGAUAACGUAGGGAAACUUACGCUAAUACCGCAUACGACCCACGGGUGAAAGCAGGGGAUCUUCGGACCUUGCGCGAUUGAAUGAGCCGAUGUCGGAUUAGCUAGUUGGCGGGGUAAAGGCCCACCAAGGCGACGAUCCGUAGCUGGUCUGAGAGGAUGAUCAGCCACACUGGAACUGAGACACGGUCCAGACUCCUACGGGAGGCAGCGGUGGGGAAUAUUGGACAAUGGGCGCAAGCCUGAUCCAGCCAUACCGCGUGGGUGAAGAAGGCCUUCGGGUUGUAAAGCCCUUUUGUUGGGAAAGAAAAGCAGCAGGUUAAUACCCCGCCGUUCUGACGGUACCCAAAGAAUAAGCACCGGCUAACUUCGUG
This 492-nucleotide ribosomal RNA is filed under the name uncultured bacterium. RNAcentral's name for it is "partial 16S ribosomal RNA". It matches the Rfam family "Bacterial small subunit ribosomal RNA", at positions 29 to 507 of the family's 1533-position model. The record is from RNAcentral.